This 1326-nucleotide ribosomal RNA is filed under the name metagenome. RNAcentral describes it as "bacterial LSU rRNA". It matches the Rfam family "Bacterial large subunit ribosomal RNA", at positions 1581 to 2925 of the family's 2925-position model. The record is from RNAcentral.
AAGUAGGGAAGCACGUGAGCUGACUGUCAAGAAAAGCCGCUAUUGUUUGCAGGAUACCCGUACCGUAAACCGACACAGGUGGAUGAGGAGAGAAUCCUAAGGCCGACGGGAGAAGCAUUGUUAAGGAACUCGGCAAAAUGACUCCGUAACUUCGGGAGAAGGAGUGCCAGUAAGAUGGCCGCAGAGAAUUGGCCCAAGCAACUGUUUAGCAAAAACACAGGUCUAUGCAAAACCGAAAGGUGAGGUAUAUGGGCUGACGCCUGCCCGGUGCUGGAAGGUUAAGGGGAGAGGUUAGCGCAAGCGAAGCUUCGAACUUAAGCCCCAGUAAACGGCGGCCGUAACAAUAACGGUCCUAAGGUAGCGAAAUUCCUUGUCGGGUAAGUUCCGACCCGCACGAAAGGCGUAAUGAUUUGGGCACUGUCUCAACAAUGCACCCGGUGAAAUUGAAAUACCAGUGAAGAUGCUGGUUACCUGCGCCAGGACGGAAAGACCCCAUGGAGCUUUACUCCAGCUUGAUACUGGGAUUCGGUAUUGCAUGUACAGGAUAGGUGGGAGGCUAGGAAAUGGUAACGCCAGUUGCCAUGGAGCCAAUGUUGGGAUACCACCCUUGCAGUACUGGGUUUCUAACCAUCAGCCGUGAUCCGGCUGGGGGACAAUGUCAGGUGGGGAGUUUGACUGGGGCGGUCGCCUCCGAAAGGGUAUCGGAGGCGCUCAAAGGUUCCCUCAGAAUGGUUGGAAACCAUUCGAAGAGUGCAAAGGCAGAAGGGAGCUUGACUGCGACACCGACGGGUGGAGCAGGUACGAAAGUAGGACUUAGUGAUCCGGUGGUAUAAAGUGGGAUUGCCAUCGCUCAACGGAUAAAAGCUACCCUGGGAUAACAGGCUUAUCACUCCCAAGAGUUCACAUCGACGGAGUGGUUUGGCACCUCGAUGUCGGCUCAUCGCAUCCUGGGGCUGAAGUAGGUCCCAAGGGUUGGGCUGUUCGCCCAUUAAAGCGGUACGCGAGCUGGGUUCAGAACGUCGUGAGACAGUUCGGUCCCUAUCCGGCGUGGGCGUAAGAUAUUUGAGAGGAGCUGUCCUUAGUACGAGAGGACCGGGAUGGACUGGCCGCUGGUGUAUCUGUUGUCUUACCAAAGGCAUAGCAGAGUAGCCAAGCCGGGAAGGGAUAAACGCUGAAGGCAUCUAAGCGUGAAGCCCCCCUCAAGAUGAGAUAUCUCAUAACGUCAAGUUAGUAAGACCCCUUGAAGACGACGAGGUAGAUAGGGCAGUGGUGGAAGUGUGGUAACACAUGGAGCUGACUGUUACUAAUAGGUCGAGGGCAUAACCG